GGUGGGUGUGUAUGCAUAGGCACUUAAUCGGUUUCGUCCGACCUGCUCGGUGACCUAAACAAGUUAUUGGCAGUCUAGCUUUACAAAUGAGUAUAGAAACUGAGCUGGAACCGAGUGAAAAAUAUUGUAGCUUCGUAUCGGAAGAACGUUGGGGAUUAUUCAUGGGUUUUUAAGUCGAAAAUGUCGUACGUAGGUCUAAUAGCAGAAGCAUGACCUCCUGGAUUUUGGUUUCCCAUUCGUGAGGUAAAGGUUGAUCGAAUGCUCUCGAUGUAACAGUCAGGUCGGCCAAGAUGGUUACGGGGUCGAAGGGACGUUUAAACGGACCCAACUUAUUUCAAGUUUCUAUAGGUUUUCCGGACAGCUGUCAAAAAGAGACAAGACUCCUCUCAGGAUAAACACCGACCGUUCCCCAAGGCUAAGAAAAAAUACCACCCAGCGGAGAGGAGAGGAACCUUAAACGGUAGGU
Molecule: long non-coding RNA, 466 nt
Organism: Macrobrachium nipponense
Lineage: Eukaryota; Metazoa; Arthropoda; Malacostraca; Decapoda; Palaemonidae
Exons: 3
Source: RefSeq, a predicted model, not a curated record